ACGGCCUCCCCGUGAACUUCCAAGCCGUAGUGUUGGUUCCCGCCCGCAAGAGCGUGAAGAAGCUACGUGACGUGCUGCAACAACUCUACGCACAUCUGGACCACUCCGCACAGCACCACGGAUCCAGUGCGCAGGACAGCGCAGAACUGGCCGGGCUCGGCUUCGGCCAAUCGGAAUACUACCCGUACGUGUUCUACAAGAUCAACAUCGACAUGAUAGAGAAGGCGGCCUAGGCUGCACGCGGCUAUUACUGUUAGGUAUAUAUUUGUUACCAGGUUGCGCAUAGCUCUGCCGGAGGCCCUAAGCAAUAGUUGCAAUCUUCGUUGUACAAUAUAUUGUUUUAUUUCACAAAUAUCAAAUUGUAAACACAAAUUAUAUUUUACCAAACCCUUGGUUCCCUUGUAAAAAAAAUCGUAUAUUAUAUAUUUCCAAUAUAUUUUUCUAUGUACAGAUUUUUUGAUGUUUUAAUAAUCUACAUUUUGAUUUUUUUGACAUUUUAAUUUUGUGUGUUAAAUAUUAUGAAGCAGGUUGUUGAAAUGGGAGUUUGUCCUGUUUAUAUGUAUGUUAUUUAUAAAUAAAUAAGAUGCCAUUGAAUAGAAGUUGUAACGCAAUAAUUCUCUGUGUAAAAGCUUUGCUUGAAACGGUUUACUUGAAAUUCUUGUAAACGUCACAACAUAAUUUAUUUCCAGUAUUAUUUAGUUGCGUUCGACACAGUAGUCUAAUGUAUAUCAAUCCGAUGGUAACUGUAAAAUAAAUGUUCAAUAAAAUAAUUAUAUUGGAGUUAAUGAAAUGCAAAAGCUAUGUAAAUAAGAACAUUCCUCAUUAUAACUCGUGUAGUACAUAAUAAAAAUAUUAUUCAAGUUACUGUUU
This is a long non-coding RNA of Ostrinia furnacalis (Asian corn borer), 870 nucleotides long. RefSeq lists it as uncharacterized. NCBI's taxonomy places the organism in Eukaryota, Metazoa, Arthropoda, Insecta, Lepidoptera, Crambidae. The transcript is spliced from 3 exons. The record is from RefSeq and is a predicted model, not a curated record.